CACGGCCCCCCACGCUGAGGUCCGCGCGCCGCCAUGUUGCACCAGCACCUGUGCUCUGAAGGGACGCGUGUGAGGCCUCUGCACGUGGGAGCCUGUGAGCCAGUGACACCAGACGAAGCACGAAGGAAAAGAACAAGGAAAGAGAUCUCCACGUUAACAGAUUCUUAACUGGCUGGUGUGAAGAGUCAUUCCAAGUGUCACAGUAUUUCCCCCACUCAAACCAGAAGAAGUAGAAAGAAACGGUGGUCUAUUAAUAAAGAAAAGACCUGUAAUUUAAGUACAAGAUAGAGGUGGAAGGAAAUGAGCGUUUCUCUUUUGAAUUAGAUACAGGCCACUGUUCCAGACAAAAAUCAGAAAAUACUUCCUUAUCUUCACCAGCUGAAGAGGCUGAUGCUUCCAGAAAGGACAUAGUCCCCCCACAUGAAACAACCCCCACCUCACCUCCUUUAGUGCGUUCCCUUAACUAAUGAAGCAAAAGGAGAUGAAGGGCCACUUGCUUUUAUUCCUGAGUUGAUGCAUCAGUGACCAGGUUUAUUGCUCCCAGAAUCCAUGUUAAAACACACAAGCCACAGAGAUUUUCUCAGCUGUGCUAGGAACUCAUUCUGGGCUUAUCUCAACUCUGGUCAAAUAGUUCAAAUAUGAAUAGCAAUAAAGAUAUUAACA
Molecule: long non-coding RNA, 663 nt
Filed under: Sus scrofa (pig)
Lineage: Eukaryota; Metazoa; Chordata; Mammalia; Artiodactyla; Suidae
Source: RNAcentral